Molecule: long non-coding RNA, 1178 nt
Organism: Hibiscus syriacus
Lineage: Eukaryota; Viridiplantae; Streptophyta; Magnoliopsida; Malvales; Malvaceae
Exons: 3
Source: RefSeq, a predicted model, not a curated record
AGAAAAUGGUUCCUCAAAAAUCGGGGUCAGAUUUGACAGGUCUAUUCCUGAGGGCAAUGACCUUGGUGGUCUUUGUGAAGAAGAUCAUGGUUUCUUCUGUGCUGGUGGCUUAUUCAACCCAUCUUUCAUUUUAAACACCUUUUCUGAUUUUUUGUGGACCUUUUGUCUAAUCUUAUUAACGUUUGGGUAGUUCUGGAGGUGAUGAUGUUGACAAGCUGGUCAUUAAUGAAAAUUUUGAGGUCGCAUUGAAUGAAAUCAAAAGCAGUCCCUUAUAUUGUUUGUGAAAGACAGAGAAGUCUAUAGCUGGAAAUACUGAUAUAUAUACUGCCUUGAAGAGUAAGCUUGAUAAUUUGCCAACAAACAUUGUAGUAAAGUAAUUGGUUCUCAUACACAGAUGGAUAACCACAAGGAAAAAUCCCACCCUGGCAGUCUUCUGUUCACAAAGUUUGUUCCAACCAGACUGCUCUGAUUGAUCUUGCUUUUCCAGUAUGUCAAGCACCUGACCCUUUUAUUUUGCCUAAUUUCUUUUACCUGAAAGAUUGAAUAUAUUGACAAAGUGUUCCAACUGUUCAAUGACGGUCUAAAUUUAACUAUAUACCUGACUUGUCCUAGUGGUUUUUAACUCUCUGCUUGUGUUAACCUUUAGAAGGAUCAUGUGUGAUCAUAUGAUAAUGUGUCAAAGGUUUACACUUGUAUUUAUACAUGUUGAAACGACAUCCUUUGUCCCUUGGAAUAUGGUAUUCUCCUAUUUUUCCUAGCGUUCUCCUUCCAAUAACACACCUGAUGUAUCGUUACCUGUGCAGGAUAAUUUUGGUAGACUUCAUGAAAGGGGUAAAGAAACAGGUAAAACCAUGAAACAAGUAACUCGCAUUUUCCCUAACAAAGUGACAAUCCAGUUGCCUCAGGUGCAUAUUUGUGGGUUCCUGCAUCAGUUACCCUCAUAAGUCAUAUCUUGUUAGAAUAAGUCAUUCUUGUUAGAAUAUUUGUGCUUUACUUUUGGACUGGAAGCAGCAGUUGGAACGGGACAUUGAAACUCUUAAAGCACAGGCAAAUUUUGUUAGCAUUCGAUCAGUGAGUAACACUUUAAUCCUGCUCUGUUUUUUCUUUUUUCCAGCUGUGUGCUCCCUGUUUCUGCAUGAUAUUAAAAGCUUCUGUCUCAAAGUAAAUUGCCUGAAUCU